Molecule: ribosomal RNA, 497 nt
Filed under: uncultured bacterium
Lineage: Bacteria
Description: partial 16S ribosomal RNA
Rfam family: Bacterial small subunit ribosomal RNA
Source: RNAcentral
GAUGAACGCUGGCGGCGUGCCUAAUACAUGCAAGUCGAGCGAACAGACGAGGAGCUUGCUCCUCUGACGUUAGCGGCGGACGGGUGAGUAACACGUGGAUAACCUACCUAUAAGACUGGGAUAACUUCGGGAAACCGGAGCUAAUACCGGAUAAUAUAUUGAACCGCAUGGUUCAAUAGUGAAAGACGGUUUUGCUGUCACUUAUAGAUGGAUCCGCGCCGCAUUAGCUAGUUGGUAAGGUAACGGCUUACCAAGGCGACGAUGCGUAGCCGACCUGAUAGGGUGAUCGGCCACACUGGAACGUAGACACGGUCCAGACUCCUACGGGAGGCAGCAGUCGGGAAUCUUCCGCAAUGGGCGAAAGCUUGACGGAGCAACGCCGCGUGAGUGAUGAAGAUCUUCGGAUCGUAAAACUCUGUUAUUAGGGAAGAACAAAUGUGUAAGUAACUAUGCACGUCUUGACGGUACCUAAUCAGAAAGCCACGGCUAACUACGUG